UUAAAAGUGGUAUCCUUCUUCUCCCUUAGAACCGAAAUUGGAAGAAAGGAGAAAGCUUGGUUUUAUCUCCCAUGAUCGGCCAUUGAAUUUAAGGUAUACAUGCAUGCUCUUUAAUAAUUUUCAUGGAUUUUUCAUUUAUCGAGCUUAGUUUAUUCAACCCACUUAUUUAAUUUUAGUAUUGAAGAGAAUUACUACUGAAGUUAUCAUUAUUGAAUUUAUAGAGUAAAACCAAGGAAUUGUUGAGAAUUAAGCUUAGUUAUUAUAAGUUUAUGUUAGAAAUGUGGUGGAAGUGGUUGAUUCAAGUUUUAAUUAAGGUUAUAUGAUUAACUAAGUGGUAUUAAGGAUUUAAUUGUAAGGGAUGAAAAUUUUGAGGUUUGUUAAUAAAUAAUUUUGAUUCGAUCGAGUCAAUAAUGAGAUACGAGUACCAUAAAGGGACUUAAUUGUAAAGAAUUUAAUUAUGUUUGGUGUUGGUUGUGCCUAUUUUAAAUAUGUACUAGUAUUAUUUUUGUAAACGAAUUAUCAAACGUAACUAAAGACAAGGUGAGAACACGACGAAUAAUGAAAUUGAUUUGGGCUAAUAUACUUUCUUUUCAUCACAUAAAAUAAUUAAAUAUUUGACUUGUGGAAUUAUUAACGUUAGUUGUUGUUUUGAUUAUAAUUAAUAAUUUUGACUACAUGUUUUAAUGGAAAUUAUUGGAUUAUGAUAAUUAAGCGUACAUGUACAUUAUCACUUGGAAGAUAAUAUAUAUAGAAUUAAUUUAAGCACAAGGAGUAAAUAGAAAAAAAUAUUAAUCUUAUGUAUUAUGAGCGGUAAGUGUUGAAUUUAUGUAUAUAUCUAAGUUUGUGCUCUCAUGUUUGAUUUUCAAUAUAUAUAUAUCUUCUAUACUUAGAUCAAUAAGUAAUUGGAAUUAGAAAGAUAUCAAAAGUGAACAUGUUUAAAAGGCAUGUAUAUCCUUAACUCCUUGACACGUAAUGUGUUUAACGAACGUGUACAUGCUUGUUAUAUGAUUUUUGAUUGCUAUCUUUGUUGGAUAUAUAUUUUGUGAUACAUUCGGACAAUAUUGAUGUCAAACAUUAUUGAGAUGCAUCAAAAAAUAUAAAUAUUAGUGAUUAUGAAAUCGUAUUAUGAUAAUGGUAUGUUGCUUUGAUUAUAAUGUGUUUUGAUGAAUUACUAAUAGUGAAUAAUGGCCUAUUAACCUUGUCGAAUAGAGUUACGAGUAUAGUUGGCACACCAUAAGAUUCGUUUUGAUAGGUGGGAGAUUCAACGCUAUGCAUGCACGUAUUAUAUUGUGAUAGUUCUCUAAUACCCUAGGGAUUGAGAAUGUAUCACCAACUCAAAUACCCCUAGCAUAUUCUGGUAUGAUUGGUGGGAUCGGUGCAUUUAUGCCCGAUUAGCACUUUGAUACAUAUACUGGUGUGUUGGUGGACCAAAUCUGAGUCAGUUAAUAGGGGACAAAACGAGAAAAUGAAUGUGUAAUAUAAAUGAUAAUUAAAUGUGAUUAAAAUGUGAAAUUUUAUGCUAAGUAUAUGUGUUAUUGAAAUGGAAAUAUAAUGACAAUAAGAGAUAUGGUUUGAUAUGAUUAAAUAGAUGCAAAUACUUUAGAGGUGUAUUGAAACUUCGAUAUGUGUAAGUAAACAUUACAUGGUUAUGUGGUAAAUGACUAUAGAUUACCUGGAGAAUUUCAUGGUUCAUGUGAAUAUUUGUUUAUAUGGAUAUUGAUAAUGAAAUGGUUUUGAUUAAUAUGUAUAUUCAUGUUACUUGACUUAUUUAUUUGAUUUAUAUUAUGUUAUAAUUAAAUUUGAAUUAUAUUAGCUAAAGUAAUCAAUAUUCAACAUAUGGUUAUGUUUGUUUUUGUGCGCAAGUCUCAGAUUAAUUUUAAUAGAUUGAGGUUGUAAAGCAUUCAAGGUUAGUGACUCAACUCAACUCAUGUUUGUACAUGUUGUAUGCACAUCUAAUUAAUGGCAUAUACCUAGGUUGAGUCUCAUUAUUGAAUGCUUAUUUUGUUGGCUUUGGUAUGUUCUGGUAUUUGAUCUUAUGUAGUUUAUGAAACCAAUUUCAAUUCUUGAUUUGGCAAGUUAAAAUGUUUGAUUAUAAGAGUUCACUUAUAUGAUUGACUUUGUUAGCCUGUGGUGGUUUUUAAAUGCCGUGUAUAAAUAUGUCUAGAAUGUUAAUUUGAAGCAUAAGUGAUUGGUAAUAAGUUGGUAUAAGGUAGGUGUGAAAUUGUUAGUAAGUUGUAAGCUUGUAAAUGUUCAUUUUAGGUUAUUUUACGUUAGUGUCUUGAGACAGUAUGAACAUAUCCUGAUGUCACAAGAACAAAAAUGGCUGUUUUGUAUUUUUUUGAGUUUGAGUUUGAGUCUUGAGACACGUUGAACAUGUCUCAAGACAAAUAUUGCUAGGACUCGAGACAAGAAUCUUUUAGUCUUGAGACAUAUUGUACGUAUGUGAUAGUAGAAGCUUGGAUUCAAAUUCUUACUCCUACCUCUAUCCCGUGUAAACUAGGGAUUUAAUCAUUAAAGAUAUUUGAAAUCUAUAAUGCAUGUACAUGGAUAGUAGUGAUGAUUGAUUUGAAAUUGUCUGAUGUUCACAUAUUAAAGUUGCGGAAAUUUAUUUAGUCUAAAUUACUUUGGCAAAAUAAUGUGACGUCAGGCAUUCAGAUUCGACGAUCGAGUCGAGCGUGGGGUGUUAUAUGACUAGGUGCAGUGGUAACAUUCUAGGAAUGUGAUUCUGUAGCUUUCUACAAUCCCGUUUAGUGUGAGCCAACUCAUGGCAAUAAUAACACUCAAUGUUCCCUGAAACAGUAUUGCGGCCAUCGACUGUUUUCUCUUCAUUUCCCCUUCCUCUACGAGUCCGCGCGCUUUCGGACAAAAUCAUGGUUGCCUCCUUUAGUGACAAGUAUCAUAUUUUUCGGUAUAGACAUAAUGGCCUAUGUACAAAGAACUCUGGAGAAGGCAUCUUGAAGAGGCGUAAUUUCCCCACAAGAAAGAAUCUGAGAUUUCGCAGCCUCAAACUCAGAAGGAAGACCAGCUAAACAACUCAUCACCGCCAUUUGCUCUCAUUGAGCUUGCUGCACUUUGAUGUCUAAACUGAAUGGUAACAACAUAUUCAGUUCUUCAUAAGUUUUCUUGAGGUCCAUAAAUAAGCAGUGAUGGACGUGGCCUCUUUUUCAGCACGAUAAAAGGCUUUGCACACCUCAAACAUGCGCGAGAUGUUCCCUUUGCCAGAAUACAAAAAUUCCAAAUAAUCCAUUAGACUGUUAACAAUUCUGAUAAAAUUUUAAAAGAAUGAUACUAAUAAACCUAAAUUAAGAAACUAAACUCUUUUCCAUUCUCAAUCAAAUUAAACGCUUUUUUUUUCACUCCACUAUUUAAUUAGCUCAUCCAAAG
Molecule: long non-coding RNA, 3384 nt
Filed under: Gossypium raimondii (Peruvian cotton)
Lineage: Eukaryota; Viridiplantae; Streptophyta; Magnoliopsida; Malvales; Malvaceae
Description: long non-coding RNA (GRAI_LNC010248)
Source: RNAcentral